Molecule: small nuclear RNA, 107 nt
Organism: Fukomys damarensis (Damara mole-rat)
Lineage: Eukaryota; Metazoa; Chordata; Mammalia; Rodentia; Bathyergidae
Source: Ensembl
GCUCUCGCUUAGGCAGCACAUAUACUAAAAUUAGAAUGAUACAGAGAAGAUUAGCACGGCCCCUGCACAAGGAUGACACACAAAUUCAUAAAAUGUUCCAUAUUUAA